RNAcentral lists this long non-coding RNA (1697 nucleotides) under Sus scrofa (pig). Its description in RNAcentral is "lncRNA (ENSSSCG00000059011.1)". RNAcentral also lists the same sequence under 1 other name. Lineage: Eukaryota; Metazoa; Chordata; Mammalia; Artiodactyla; Suidae. The record is from RNAcentral.
CUCUCUGUCUCUCUCUGUCUCUCUCUGUCUCCCUCUCUCUCUCUGGUUUUGGUUUUGGUUUUGGUUUUUAAUGGCUGCACCUGCUGCACAUGGAGUUUCCCAGGCUAGGGGUCUAAUCAGAACUACAGCUGCCGGCAUAUACCACAGCCACAGCAAGUCACGAUGUGAGCCGAGUCGGUGACCUACAGCACAGCGCAUGGCAACACCAGAUCCUUAACCCACUGAGCGAGUCCAGGGAUCAAACCUGCAGCCUCAUGCUUUCUAGUCAGUUUUGGUUCCGCCGUGCCACAACGGGAACUCCAAUUUCCUCCUUUUGUCUGUCAGUUUCAACUAUGCAAGUCUACACUGUUCAAAUCAGUGGAGACCUACAUUUUUCCUGGGUUGGACGAGUGUUGACGGAAUGUCUCUCCCAAUGCAUGACUGAUUGAAAAAUUGACAGCAGCCUCUAGAAACUGGAAGUGCGGCUGAGAGCAAUGUUACCAGCAGAGAAUUGCCCUCCUUGCAAGAGAAUUUGGUGGGUUUUGGUCAAAGUACACAUAAGAAUUCCUACAGGAAGAUUUGAAGCCUUUGUCCAGGAUGACCUCUGUGUUUUCUUUGGGACCGUGGACUCGAGGAGUGUUUCCCUUUUGGGUUUUGCUGGGCAGAAAGACCAUGAAAAUUCUCAUGUCCAUAGAGACCAGGAAGCUUAGAUUCUCACACUGUUUUCUUGCACUAGAUGCCGGCCGAUGACGCAACUAAUAAUAAUGGCAUGGCUUUGGAGCGCCCCACUCCAGUGACAAACAAUCGGGGUGAAGAAGAAGAAGGUGGGUCUUCCUUGCGGGCAUUGGUUGGAGAGCAGCCAGAUCCUGGGUUCCUUUUGGAAAGGGGGUAGUCUGGGAUGUGGAGCAGGCAGCUCUUUCCCAGUCAUAGUGAUGCCCUGGUGGCACCUGCCCUGGACACAAGUCUCUUGUGUUGAUUCCUUGGGUUGUGACACAUUCCGAGGGACAGGGAGUGAGGUCCAUGUGUGAGCACAUGUGGUGUAAGUAUCUGUUUCCUCAUGAGCUCUCUCCUAUUUAUACAGAAAAUACACCGCUCAACGUUCCUUAAGAAACAUCCCAUCACCUCUGCGUACCACCCCUAUAGGCAUGCAUUCGCCCCUCACCACUGCUGUCCCCACGUUGGCUUAAUUUUCCCGUUGCUCAGGUGGAGAUGGUGCAGAGAGAGUUGGCCCAAGCUCUUGACCUCCUACAUGGGAAAGCCAAAGUGGGACCCAGGCUGGGUUCCCUAUGGGGACGCUCUGGACCCCUGACCUGCACCUCUCCCUCAGCCAGGACUUGGUCGUUCGUGGGGAGCACGGAGCGGGGAGGGUCCCUGCUCCGUGUCUAUGCCCGGGAAUUCCAGGGUCUCCAGAGGGCCUGUCGAUGCUGUGCAUUUUAAAAGGUCCCUGUCAGUGCUGCGGUCAUUGCUUCAACAUGGCCAAAGCAGAUGGGAAUCGGCGAGGCGUAUGCUUGUAUUGGACAGUGUCACUGUCAUUCUCACACUUGACCACCCUAGGUAGCACACACCCAGGCGAUCUUGCAAGUAAGAGCUCAGAGUUCACCCUCAUCCUGGUGUCCGGCACCACUGUACAAACUUGCUGCCCACCUGGGUGAGAAGGACUCUGUGUUCCCUCUGUGUUUCUCUCCAUGAAAUAAGUCCCUCAUGUUGUAAGACUCUUG